GGAGCCAUAGGGAGGGAUCCCAAUCCACCCUUAGGAAAAGAAACCUGCCAUGGGAGUCUUGGAGAUUGGUGACUGUCCUACUGACUUA
This 88-nucleotide microRNA precursor is filed under the name Equus caballus (horse). Its description in RNAcentral is "mir-9014 microRNA precursor family". It matches the Rfam family "mir-9014 microRNA precursor family". Lineage: Eukaryota; Metazoa; Chordata; Mammalia; Perissodactyla; Equidae. The record is from Rfam by way of RNAcentral.